RNAcentral lists this ribosomal RNA (253 nucleotides) under uncultured bacterium. Its description in RNAcentral is "partial 16S ribosomal RNA". It matches the Rfam family "Bacterial small subunit ribosomal RNA", at positions 524 to 776 of the family's 1533-position model. The record is from RNAcentral.
UACGAAGGGGGCAAGCGUUGUUCGGAAUUACUGGGCGUAAAGGGCGCGUAGGCGGCUUACCAAGUCAGGCGUGAAAUUCCCGGGCUCAACCUGGGGGCUGCGCUUGAUACUGGUGAGCUUGAAUGCGGGAGAGGAUAGCGGAAUUCCCAGUGUAGAGGUGAAAUUCGUAGAUAUUGGGAAGAACACCGGUGGCGAAGGCGGCUAUCUGGACCGACAUUGACGCUGAGGCGCGAAAGCGUGGGGAGCAAACAGG